This 301-nucleotide ribosomal RNA is filed under the name uncultured bacterium. Its description in RNAcentral is "partial 16S ribosomal RNA". It matches the Rfam family "Bacterial small subunit ribosomal RNA", at positions 509 to 807 of the family's 1533-position model. The record is from RNAcentral.
CAGCAGCCGCGGUAAUACGAAGGGUGCAAGCGUUAAUCGGAAUUACUGGGCGUAAAGCGUGCGCAGGCGGUUUGUUAAGACAGAUGUGAAAUCCCCGGGCUCAACCUGGGAACUGCAUUUGUGACUGGCAAGCUAGAGUGUGGCAGAGGGGGGUGGAAUUCCGCGUGUAGCAGUGAAAUGCGUAGAUAUGCGGAGGAACACCGAUGGCGAAGGCAGCCCCCUGGGCCAACACUGACGCUCAUGCACGAAAGCGUGGGGAGCAAACAGGAUUAGAUACCCGCGUAGUCCCUGUCUCUUAUAC